Denticeps clupeoides (denticle herring) is the source of this 374-nucleotide long non-coding RNA. The record is from Ensembl. NCBI's taxonomy places the organism in Eukaryota, Metazoa, Chordata, Actinopteri, Clupeiformes, Denticipitidae.
GUUGCUUUUAGCAGACACCCUUGUCCAGAGCAACUUACAAUCCGUAUGGUGAAGUGGACUCGUAACCAAAACCCCGAAACGCCAAGGUGUUACCGAGAGGCAGUCUCCACCAUUUUUGAAUCACAGUGCAUACUAAAGAGUGCAUUAGGUUUCACAUGCUCUAUGGCUCAUCUUAGUCGCUACUGACAUUCAUCAAACAAGACCACUUCUAUCCAUCUGAAGCAUUUUUGCCUUGAGCCUGAGAGGGGGCAAAAUCAGGACAACAUUUGGAAUGAGCAAACUGAGUGAUGUUCACUGAAAUGCACGGAGCAGCUGGGAGCUACCCUGAAGGUCUAGUACAGUGAAACACUUGACUGGCUGGAAGCAAUAUUAAA